RNAcentral lists this ribosomal RNA (2927 nucleotides) under Escherichia coli. Its description in RNAcentral is "bacterial LSU rRNA". It matches the Rfam family "Bacterial large subunit ribosomal RNA". The record is from RNAcentral. Lineage: Bacteria; Pseudomonadati; Pseudomonadota; Gammaproteobacteria; Enterobacterales; Enterobacteriaceae.
GGGUUGUGAGGUUAAGCGACUAAGCGUACACGGUGGAUGCCCUGGCAGUCAGAGGCGAUGAAGGACGUGCUAAUCUGCGAUAAGCGUCGGUAAGGUGAUAUGAACCGUUAUAACCGGCGAUUUCCGAAUGGGGAAACCCAGUGUGAUUCGUCACACUAUCAUUAACUGAAUCCAUAGGUUAAUGAGGCGAACCGGGGGAACUGAAACAUCUAAGUACCCCGAGGAAAAGAAAUCAACCGAGAUUCCCCCAGUAGCGGCGAGCGAACGGGGAGCAGCCCAGAGCCUGAAUCAGUGUGUGUGUUAGUGGAAGCGUCUGGAAAGGCGUGCGAUACAGGGUGACAGCCCCGUACACAAAAAUGCACAUGCUGUGAGCUCGAUGAGUAGGGCGGGACACGUGGUAUCCUGUCUGAAUAUGGGGGGACCAUCCUCCAAGGCUAAAUACUCCUGACUGACCGAUAGUGAACCAGUACCGUGAGGGAAAGGCGAAAAGAACCCCGGCGAGGGGAGUGAAAAAGAACCUGAAACCGUGUACGUACAAGCAGUGGGAGCACAGAGCAAUCUGUGUGACUGCGUACCUUUUGUAUAAUGGGUCAGCGACUUAUAUUCUGUAGCAAGGUUAACCGAAUAGGGGAGCCGAAGGGAAACCGAGUCUUAACUGGGCGUUAAGUUGCAGGGUAUAGACCCGAAACCCGGUGAUCUAGCCAUGGGCAGGUUGAAGGUUGGGUAACACUAACUGGAGGACCGAACCGACUAAUGUUGAAAAAUUAGCGGAUGACUUGUGGCUGGGGGUGAAAGGCCAAUCAAACCGGGAGAUAGCUGGUUCUCCCCGAAAGCUAUUUAGGUAGCGCCUCGUGAAUUCAUCUCCGGGGGUAGAGCACUGUUUCGGCAAGGGGGUCAUCCCGACUUACCAACCCGAUGCAAACUGCGAAUACCGGAGAAUGUUAUCACGGGAGACACACGGCGGGUGCUAACGUCCGUCGUGAAGAGGGAAACAACCCAGACCGCCAGCUAAGGUCCCAAAGUCAUGGUUAAGUGGGAAACGAUGUGGGAAGGCCCAGACAGCCAGGAUGUUGGCUUAGAAGCAGCCAUCAUUUAAAGAAAGCGUAAUAGCUCACUGGUCGAGUCGGCCUGCGCGGAAGAUGUAACGGGGCUAAACCAUGCACCGAAGCUGCGGCAGCGACGCUUAUGCGUUGUUGGGUAGGGGAGCGUUCUGUAAGCCUGCGAAGGUGUGCUGUGAGGCAUGCUGGAGGUAUCAGAAGUGCGAAUGCUGACAUAAGUAACGAUAAAGCGGGUGAAAAGCCCGCUCGCCGGAAGACCAAGGGUUCCUGUCCAACGUUAAUCGGGGCAGGGUGAGUCGACCCCUAAGGCGAGGCCGAAAGGCGUAGUCGAUGGGAAACAGGUUAAUAUUCCUGUACUUGGUGUUACUGCGAAGGGGGGACGGAGAAGGCUAUGUUGGCCGGGCGACGGUUGUCCCGGUUUAAGCGUGUAGGCUGGUUUUCCAGGCAAAUCCGGAAAAUCAAGGCUGAGGCGUGAUGACGAGGCACUACGGUGCUGAAGCAACAAAUGCCCUGCUUCCAGGAAAAGCCUCUAAGCAUCAGGUAACAUCAAAUCGUACCCCAAACCGACACAGGUGGUCAGGUAGAGAAUACCAAGGCGCUUGAGAGAACUCGGGUGAAGGAACUAGGCAAAAUGGUGCCGUAACUUCGGGAGAAGGCACGCUGAUAUGUAGGUGAAGUCCCUCGCGGAUGGAGCUGAAAUCAGUCGAAGAUACCAGCUGGCUGCAACUGUUUAUUAAAAACACAGCACUGUGCAAACACGAAAGUGGACGUAUACGGUGUGACGCCUGCCCGGUGCCGGAAGGUUAAUUGAUGGGGUUAGCGCAAGCGAAGCUCUUGAUCGAAGCCCCGGUAAACGGCGGCCGUAACUAUAACGGUCCUAAGGUAGCGAAAUUCCUUGUCGGGUAAGUUCCGACCUGCACGAAUGGCGUAAUGAUGGCCAGGCUGUCUCCACCCGAGACUCAGUGAAAUUGAACUCGCUGUGAAGAUGCAGUGUACCCGCGGCAAGACGGAAAGACCCCGUGAACCUUUACUAUAGCUUGACACUGAACAUUGAGCCUUGAUGUGUAGGAUAGGUGGGAGGCUUUGAAGUGUGGACGCCAGUCUGCAUGGAGCCGACCUUGAAAUACCACCCUUUAAUGUUUGAUGUUCUAACGUUGACCCGUAAUCCGGGUUGCGGACAGUGUCUGGUGGGUAGUUUGACUGGGGCGGUCUCCUCCUAAAGAGUAACGGAGGAGCACGAAGGUUGGCUAAUCCUGGUCGGACAUCAGGAGGUUAGUGCAAUGGCAUAAGCCAGCUUGACUGCGAGCGUGACGGCGCGAGCAGGUGCGAAAGCAGGUCAUAGUGAUCCGGUGGUUCUGAAUGGAAGGGCCAUCGCUCAACGGAUAAAAGGUACUCCGGGGAUAACAGGCUGAUACCGCCCAAGAGUUCAUAUCGACGGCGGUGUUUGGCACCUCGAUGUCGGCUCAUCACAUCCUGGGGCUGAAGUAGGUCCCAAGGGUAUGGCUGUUCGCCAUUUAAAGUGGUACGCGAGCUGGGUUUAGAACGUCGUGAGACAGUUCGGUCCCUAUCUGCCGUGGGCGCUGGAGAACUGAGGGGGGCUGCUCCUAGUACGAGAGGACCGGAGUGGACGCAUCACUGGUGUUCGGGUUGUCAUGCCAAUGGCACUGCCCGGUAGCUAAAUGCGGAAGAGAUAAGUGCUGAAAGCAUCUAAGCACGAAACUUGCCCCGAGAUGAGUUCUCCCUGACUCCUUGAGAGUCCUGAAGGAACGUUGAAGACGACGACGUUGAUAGGCCGGGUGUGUAAGCGCAGCGAUGCGUUGAGCUAACCGGUACUAAUGAACCGUGAGGCUUAACCUUACAACGCCGAAG